This 422-nucleotide ribosomal RNA is filed under the name uncultured bacterium. RNAcentral describes it as "bacterial SSU rRNA". It matches the Rfam family "Bacterial small subunit ribosomal RNA", at positions 355 to 793 of the family's 1533-position model. The record is from RNAcentral.
UAGGGAAUAUUGCACAAUGGGCGAAAGCCUGAUGCAGCAACGCCGCGUGCGCGAAGAAGGUCUUCGGAUCGUAAAGCGCUUUUCUGGGAGAUGAGAAAGGACAGUAUCCCAGGAAUAAGUCUCGGCUAACUACGUGCCAGCAGCCGCGGUAACACGUAGGAGGCGAGCGUUAUCCGGAUUCACUGGGCGUAAAGCGCGUGCAGGCGGUUCGGUAAGUUGGGCGUGAAAUCUCCCGGCUCAACUGGGAGAGGUCGUUCAAUACUACCGGACUUGAGAGCGAUAGAGGAAAAUGGAAUUCCCGGUGUAGUGGUGAAAUGCGUAGAUAUCGGGAGGAACACCAGUGGCGAAGGCGAUCUUCUGGUCUGUUUCUGACACUCAGACGCGACAGCUAGGGUAGUAAACGGGAUUAGAGACCCUGGUAG